Molecule: ribosomal RNA, 484 nt
Filed under: uncultured bacterium
Lineage: Bacteria
Description: partial 16S ribosomal RNA
Rfam family: Bacterial small subunit ribosomal RNA
Source: RNAcentral
AUUGAACGCUGGCGGCAGGCCUAACACAUGCAAGUCGAGCGGAUGAAGGGAGCUUGCUCCUGGAUUCAGCGGCGGACGGGUGAGUAAUGCCUAGGAAUCUGCCUGGUAGUGGGGGAUAACGUCCGGAAACGGGCGCUAAUACCGCAUACGUCCUGAGGGAGAAAGUGGGGGAUCUUCGGACCUCACGCUAUCAGAUGAGCCUAGGUCGGAUUAGCUAGUUGGUGGGGUAAAGGCCUACCAAGGCGACGAUCCGUAACUGGUCUGAGAGGAUGAUCAGUCACACUGGAACUGAGACACGGUCCAGGCUCCUACGGGAGGCAGCAGUGGGGAAUAUUGGACAAUGGGCGAAAGCCUGAUCCAGCCAUGCCGCGUGUGUGAAGAAGGUCUUCGGAUUGUAAAGCACUUUAAGUUGGGAGUAAGGGCAGUAAGUUAAUACCUUGCUGUUUUGACGUUACCGACAGAAUAAGCACCGGCUAACUUCGUG